This is an RNA transcript of Fragaria vesca subsp. vesca, 794 nucleotides long. RefSeq lists it as uncharacterized. Lineage: Eukaryota; Viridiplantae; Streptophyta; Magnoliopsida; Rosales; Rosaceae. The transcript is spliced from 2 exons. The record is from RefSeq and is a predicted model, not a curated record.
CAAAGGUAGUAGUUGAAGUAUCGGAAUAGAUUGUCAUGGUUCCAGAGUUUGAAUUUUGAGGGCUAUUUGGUGGGUGGUUUUGGAAACAUGGAUUUUGGAAAGAUAUUUGGCUGUGGUGGUUAAUGGGGAGCAGGGAUAACAACGGCUUUUUGUGGUGGAAUUUUGUGUGUUGGUUUUGUGUUUGGUUUUGUAGGAUCAAAAGGGUAGAAACAAGAGUAACCGAUCUGUUAUAGUAACCAGUGUCAAAGUACCCAGAGAACCAGAACCAUCUUGUAACCAUAGUGCCACAGUAGCCAUAGAAACGGAACCAUAGUAACCAUAGUGUCAUAGAACCAUUGCCAUAGUAUCCAUUAGUAACCAGUAACCAAAGUGACCAGUGUUUAGGGUAACAAGUAACCAGGAACGAUCCACAAGGGAUUUGUGUAACCAAGUAACUAGUAACCGGGAACGAUCCACAAGGGAUUUGAGUAACCAAGUAACCAAGAGAACACAGUAACCAUAGUAACCAGAUCGAUCCACAAGGGAUUUGAGUGACCAGGAACAAUAGUAACCAAGAGCACCAGAGGCCAUCCGCAGGGAACAUGAAAGCAGUGAUGCCUCCAUCAACAGAACAUAAAAGAGCUAUGCAAAGAGAAAGAGAACUCGCCAUCCGAACCUUGUAAAGAAAGAACUGCUCCUUUGUGAUUUUCCUUGCUGCUCGCCUGCCUCCUCCCGUUGGUGUUGUUUUUCUUCUGUGUUGUUCUCCUCUCUCAUCCUCUGCCUCCUCUCCUCCUUUUCUUUCUGGCGGAGGUGUU